This 2150-nucleotide long non-coding RNA is filed under the name Nicotiana benthamiana. RNAcentral's name for it is "long non-coding RNA (NBEN_LNC028872)". The record is from RNAcentral. Lineage: Eukaryota; Viridiplantae; Streptophyta; Magnoliopsida; Solanales; Solanaceae.
GCAAAAGCGAAAAUCGCUGGAUAAAAAAGACAGAAUUCAAGGGUUUGAGUUCAUAACUCAAAAAUUUGAUUGAGAGCUCGGUAGAAGAAGAAAUUUUGAGAGAUUUUCGAAGGAAUUUUGUGGGUACUGAUUCCUAACUCCUUUAUCAUUAUAUUCCAAUUAAUUUAAGCUUGAUUUCAUCAUUUAAUUUCGAAUUUGGGUGAAAUUUUGGGAAAUUUGAGAAAAGUUCUUAGAUAGGAUUUUGGGAUUUUGAUUGAGAUUUUGGCAUCGGAUUUGAGUAAAUUUGUUAUGGUUAGACUCGUGAAUGAAUUGGUGUUCAUAAUUUGUGACUUUUACUCGAUUCCGAUACGUUGUCCUGAAGAGGAUUUUUGGGCGUUUUUCUAUUUUUUCUUAACUUUGAUUUCAUUAGCUAAAUUAAUUACUAGCUAUAUUUACUGUAUGUAAUUGAUUUGGUUAGAUUUGGACCACUCGGAGUUGGAUACUCGUGGCAAGAUCAUGAUUUCAGAUUGAUUUAACCUUGAUUCAAGGUAAAUGGCUUGUCUAAUCUUGUGUGGAAGAACUCCCCUUCAGAUUUGGUACUGUUCAAUAUGUAAGCAUUAUCUACGUAAGGUGGCGAAUGCGUACAUGUGUUAUUUUGUUGAAAAGAAAUCCUGUUUCAUUAAGUAAAUAUCUAUUUUUCCUUUAAUUGAGCAACACUAGUAUAGUAACUAUCCUGUUUAGCUUAAGAAAGCAUGCCUACAUGCCUUAGUUGCCUUAACUGCCUCAACUGCGUAUCUGAACUCUACGCAACAUGUUUAGUGAAAGCUACCUGUUUUCUCUUACAUGAACUUAGUCUAAACUGUAGAAUUCCUUGUUGGAACUGUUGUUUUUGUUAAUUGAGUUGCAUAUUUACUUUGGGACUACAGAAUGGUAUUUCGGGAGAUCCCCCUGCACGUUUAUGCUUGGGUCUACGAGAUGGUAUCCCGAAAGACCCCCCAGUACUGCAUAUUUACUAUGGGACUACGAAAUAGUAUUUUGGGAGAUCCCCCUACACAUUUACAUUUGGGACUACGGGACGGUUUCUCGGGAGAUCCCCUAUUGCUAUCUCUGUGUAUUGAGUUGUUGUUUUUUUGUUAUUUCAUUCUCAUUGACUACUAUACAUAUAUCCUAGUAGCGCCCUGCCUGAUUUUGUUACCACUCAAUCGAGGUUAGGAUUAAGACUUACUGGUAUGGCCGUGGUGUACUCAUGCCCUUUCCUACGUAUAUUUUUUGUGUGCGGAUCCAGGUACAUCUUCCUGGUCUUAUUUCUAAUAAGGCAAGGCAAUUGUAGAGACAUUAAGUUAUAUCUUCCGCGUCUGCAGACCUAGGAGUCUCUCUCUACUCUUCCUUAAGUUCAAGACUUUCUUGUAUUUUCUUCAUUGACAGUUUCUGGAGUUUAGAAGCACUAUUUACUUUUAGUUUGUGACUAAUGAUAUUCCAGAUUUUGGAAGCAUUUAUGUUUAGUUUGAGAGUGUUUACUGUAUAUACCGAACGACAUCUAAAAUUCUUAAUUAAAUUUACCUGUUAAAUUGUUAGUUUUUCAGGUUUUUGUUUCAUUAUAUGCAAAAUGUUAGGAUUACCUAGUCGUAGAGACUAGGUGCCAUAACGAUAGUUUACAGAGGGAGAAGUUGGUCGUAACAAGUUGGUAUCAAAGCUCUAGGUUCAUAGGAGUUGUGAGUCACAAGACGGUUAAUUUGAGUCUCGCGGAUCGGUAUUGAGACGUUUGUAUUUAUCUUCGAGAGGCUACAGAACUAUUAAGAAAAUUUCACUUUAUUUGAUUCCUUGUCGUGCGAGAUUAUUGACUUCAAAAUUCUAAGCUUUUGUCUUAUGUUCUCUCAUAGAUGGUGAUGGCACAUACUACCGAAGAUGACCAGGCACCCGCGCCCUCUACUAGAGCCACCAAAGGCCAGGGUUGGGUAGAGGCCAGGGACGCACACAUAGUUCAGCCAGAGCACCCCGCAUGAGCUACUACUGAGGAGCCACUAGUAGUUCCAGCCGUAUCCCAGGCACCUGAUACGUGUACUACUACUAUUACUACUCCAACUCUCUAGGAGGCUCUUGCACAGUUCGUGAGCAUGUAUAUCACUCUGGCUCAGGCAGGGUUUAUUCCCCUUACUGGAGAUACACAUAUC